UGUGAAAAUAGAGCACAGGUGGUUUUUCUCAUGAUGCAGCCUUCCCACAUAGUGUGAGACCCCUUCCACCCACACUCAUGGGAGAAGCCCCAGGGAGAAGUGAACUCACAGAAGUGGAAGGCUCCUAGGUUAUUGUAGAAUGUGACUUCACACAAAGCUGAGUGGGUGGAAAUGGGAAUUAAGAGAGAACUGCCCUAUAGGUUUAUAUUUUGUAAUCAUUGUCUAAAUUGUUACCAGUGACAAUGAAAUUAAACAUGAAGUUAAUUAGUGUAACGUAAUAGGCUGAUUCUGUGAUAACUUUCAUAUUGUAAGACUGAAAG
Long non-coding RNA from Gopherus evgoodei (Goodes thornscrub tortoise), 320 nucleotides. RefSeq lists it as uncharacterized. The transcript is spliced from 3 exons. The record is from RefSeq and is a predicted model, not a curated record. Lineage: Eukaryota; Metazoa; Chordata; Testudines; Testudinidae.